This 188-nucleotide small nucleolar RNA is filed under the name Sciurus vulgaris (Eurasian red squirrel). Its description in RNAcentral is "Small nucleolar RNA U3 (ENSSVLG00005016735.1)". It matches the Rfam family "Small nucleolar RNA U3". Rfam says of the family: Small nucleolar RNAs (snoRNAs) are involved in the processing and modification of rRNA in the nucleolus. The record is from Rfam by way of RNAcentral. Lineage: Eukaryota; Metazoa; Chordata; Mammalia; Rodentia; Sciuridae.
AAGACGAUACUUGGCAGGGAUCAUUUCUAUAGUUCGUUACUAGAAAAGAUUCUCUGAUCUCAUAGAGUACUGGAAACCACCAGGAGGAAAUGAAACAUUCUCUCCUGGGUGUGAAGCUGGCUCUUGGUGUUGCUUUGCUGUAACUGCCUUUUGUCAUUGGAAGAGUGAGGGGGAGAGAACACCGAGUG